UCUAUGCUGAGCUUGACCGCCAUCUUCCACGACUAAUGACUUUAUUUAGGCAGAAGGCAUCAAGAACUGGAAAGACAGCAGAUGCUCUGGCUGAAAUUUUAAAAAUCCACGAUGAACAGGAAAACCAGGACAUACACACCAAACGUACGACUGUUCUCCACGGCCUCCCUGUCUAUCUGUGCGAGGAUGUAUCUGGAUUCUUCAGAACCUGCACAGACGAGUCUGAUGAGCCAGAGCUUGAUGGGGUUGCAGUGGGCCUCCUUACUGUCACCAGUGACAAUAACACAAGUGCAGUUCACUACCACCCUGUGAAAAUCUCUGUGAUUAUUGAAAGUGAUGUCAUGGUUAG
This is a long non-coding RNA of Pseudoliparis swirei, 349 nucleotides long. RefSeq lists it as uncharacterized. The record is from RefSeq and is a predicted model, not a curated record. The transcript has 3 exons. Lineage: Eukaryota; Metazoa; Chordata; Actinopteri; Perciformes; Liparidae.